ACACUCCUGCGGGAGGCAGCAGUGGGGAAUAUUGCACAAUGGGCGCAAGCCUGAUGCAGCGACGCCGCGUGGGGGAUGAAGGCCUUCGGGUUGUAAACUCCUUUCGCUAGGGACGAAGCUUUUUUGUGACGGUACCUAGAUAAGAAGCACCGGCUAACUACGUGCCAGCAGCCGCGGUAAUACGUAGGGUGCGAGCGUUGUCCGGAAUUACUGGGCGUAAAGGGCUCGUAGGUGGUUUGUCGCGUCGUCUGUGAAAUUCUGGGGCUUAACUCCGGGCGUGCAGGCGAUACGGGCAUAACUUGAGUGCUGUAGGGGUAACUGGAAUUCCUGGUGUAGCGGUGAAAUGCGCAGAUAUCAGGAGGAACACCGAUGGCGAAGGCAGGUUACUGGGCAGUUACUGACGCUGAGGAGCGAAAGCAUGGGUAGCGAACAGGAUUAGAUACCCUGGUAGUCCCA
RNAcentral lists this ribosomal RNA (456 nucleotides) under uncultured organism. Its description in RNAcentral is "partial 16S ribosomal RNA". It matches the Rfam family "Bacterial small subunit ribosomal RNA", at positions 333 to 797 of the family's 1533-position model. The record is from RNAcentral.